GAUGAACGCUGGCGGCGUGCCUAAUACAUGCAAGUCGAGCGAACAGACGAGGAGCUUGCUCCUCUGACGUUAGCGGCGGACGGGUGAGUAACACGUGGAUAACCUACCUAUAAGACUGGGAUAACUUCGGGAAACCGGAGCUAAUACCGGAUAAUAUAUUGAACCGCAUUGUUCAAUAGUGAAAUACGGUUUUGCUGUCACUUAUAGAUGGAUCCGCGCCGCAUUAGCUAGUUGGUAAGGUAACGGCUUACCAAGGCAACGAUGCGUAGCCGACCUGAGAGGGUGAUCGGACACCCUGGAACUGAGACACGGUCCAGACUCCUACGGGAGGCAGCAGUAGGGAAUCUUACGCAAUGGGCGAAAGCCUGACGGAGCAACGCCGCGUGAGUGAUGAAGGUCUUCGGAUCGUAAAACUCUGUUAUUAGGGAAGAACAAAUGUGUAAGUAACUAUGCACGUAUUGACGGUACCUAAUCAGAAAGCCACGGCUAACUACGUG
This 497-nucleotide ribosomal RNA is filed under the name uncultured bacterium. Its description in RNAcentral is "partial 16S ribosomal RNA". It matches the Rfam family "Bacterial small subunit ribosomal RNA", at positions 28 to 507 of the family's 1533-position model. The record is from RNAcentral.